RNAcentral lists this ribosomal RNA (443 nucleotides) under uncultured bacterium. RNAcentral describes it as "partial 16S ribosomal RNA". It matches the Rfam family "Bacterial small subunit ribosomal RNA", at positions 28 to 507 of the family's 1533-position model. The record is from RNAcentral.
GAUGAACGCUGGCGGCAUGCCUAACACAUGCAAGUCGAUCGGUAAGGCUCUUCGGAGUACACGAGAGGCGGACGGCUGAGUAACGCGUAGGAACACACCCUGCAGUGAGGGAUAAGACACCGAAAGGUGUUCUAAUACCGCAUACGGUCUUCGGAUUAAAGCAUUUAUGCGCUGAAGGAGUGGCCUGCGUCAUAUUAGAUAGUUGGUGAGGUAAUGGCUCACCAAGUCGAUGAUGUGUAGCUGGUCUGAGAGGAUGAUCAGCCAGACUGGAACUGAGACACGGUCCAGACUCCUACGGGAGGCAGCAGUGAGGAAUAUUUCACAAUGAGCGAAAGCUUGAUGGAGCAAUGCCGCGUGCAGGGUGAAGGCCCUCGGGUUGUAAACUGCUUUUAUAAGAGAAGAUUAUGACGGUAACUUAUGAAUAAGGGACGGCUAACUACGUG